RNAcentral lists this long non-coding RNA (614 nucleotides) under Malus domestica (apple). Its description in RNAcentral is "long non-coding RNA (MDOM_LNC007748)". The record is from RNAcentral. Lineage: Eukaryota; Viridiplantae; Streptophyta; Magnoliopsida; Rosales; Rosaceae.
GACUAAAGUGUGAAUUUCAAUAAAACUUUAGGGAAAUUGUGAAUUUAUAAUAAUUUGGGGGUAGGGUUUAACACAGUCGGUCUCGAAGCAGUGCUGUUUAUUCAAACUAAAUAUGCUCCUCGGUUGGCUGAUUCUACGACAACACUAAUAUGUUGGCGGAGAAAAAGAAAAUAAAAAUAUCAAGAUGUUUAAGAGGUUUGUGUAGCGCAAUUAUGUGUUGAAUUGAAGUGACCUCGAAUAGUUACAUGCAGCUUUGUAUUUAUAGGACUACUGAAUUCUGAUGCGUCGCAUUACAAAAGAAUCUAACUUGUGGAAUAAUACCCUGAUGCUAGCUGUAUCAUGCAUUGACGGUUCCAGGUCUGUUGUCCCUUAAAUUGUGUCUCAUUGCUAAUAUGUUGACAGUGAAAUCUCGUUCCUGGAUUUCACUGUAAUAAUCUAUGUAUUUGUAUUAUUGAGAUUUUAUAUUAUUUCUUGAGAAUUUAUUUUAAUUUGUUUGAAUUUAGAUUUUAAUUAAACCAGUUACAAAGUUUGACAUUUGGAAAUUAAUUAUUUAAAAUCCGUAGACCUUUCAAGGUCACAAUUUAUAUUUUCGAAUAAAUCUUGAAACCACGAAC